This 216-nucleotide ribosomal RNA is filed under the name Glomeromycotina sp. Its description in RNAcentral is "partial small subunit ribosomal RNA". The stretch from base 40 to 216 matches the Rfam family "Eukaryotic small subunit ribosomal RNA", at positions 686 to 864 of the family's 1831-position model. The record is from RNAcentral. Lineage: Eukaryota; Fungi; Glomeromycota.
GGGUCAGUAGGUUGGUCGUGCCACCGGUACGUACUGGUCUCACUGAUUCCUCCUUCCUGAAGAGCCGUAAUGCCAUUAAUUUGGUGUUGCGGGGAAACAGGACUGUUACUUUGAAAAAAUUAGAGUGUUUAAAGCAAGCUAACGCUUGAAUACAUUAGCAUGGAAUAAUGAAAUAGGACGAUCGAUCCUAUUUUGUUGGUUUCUAGGAUUGACGUA